GCCCUUAUAGAGAUACUGUCUAUAUUUUGAAUGUUUGGCUUACUGUCAUGCUGAGAAUGCAUUCGUGAAGGAGAUAAAUUACCUUUAAAUGAUAUCAGCCAAAGAUUCUGCAUCCGUCCAAUUGGUUCUGGAUGUUAGUGAUGCCUUCAACACCAUUGAUCAUUUGCUUCUCUUUGAAAACGAUGUUGGGUUCUGCGGAGACGCUCCUGCCUGGUUUUGAUUCUAUCUUCCGGGGAGAUGUUAGUAUGUGUGGAUGUCCUGUCCUUGAUAAAACAAAGGUAGGCUUUGGCAUUCCUUAAGGCUCAGUUUUAUUUUUGCUAUAUAUGCUACCCCGUCGUUAUUGUUUCCAAUGCAGUGGUGUGUGUGAAGCGGGACUGGGGUCAGUCUACAUUAUAUGCUGAGGAUCCUUUUGGAUUUAAGGUGUAUUCUCUCUAAUUUGCCUGGUGUCUAGUAGAAUCUUAGGAGGACCUGAGUCCUUAGACCACAUCUUAGAUCUACCUGGCCUGAGAGGGAGGGAGGGAGAAAGGGAGACAGAGAGAGGAAGGCAGAUAUCUCCCCCUCUCUCUCUCUCUUCCACUCUCCUCCUCUCUCUCCUCUCGCUCUCCUCCUCUUUCUCCUCCUCUCUCUCUCCCUCUCUCGCGCCUCCUUUCUCUCUCCCCAUCUCACUGUGUCUUGCUUGGCUCAGCACUUGGGCAACUUUCUUAACAGAAAACCACCUCUGUGUUCUGACCUGGCCCCCCCAUGCCCUCCUAUCUGAACACACAUUGAUUUGCCAAGUGAUUUGCGGUAGCUCUAAUGGAGAUGGCACUGUGACAAGUCUUAACAGGGGUUAAAGAUGGCAAUUUAAUUAUGUGUCAGAGGUCACGUUAAGGCCUGACCCUUAACCUCUGACUCCUAGCCAGAGGCCGUAGUACUGAUUAGUGAGAUGUUAAGAAUCUGCAUUACUUGACCAAAUGAUUGAUAUUACAACAUUGAAGGCAUCGUGAACUAAUAGACAGCUAAUCAUAGUUUAAUAUGACCACUUUUCCCUGACCUUGUGACCCCUAACUGACCUUGUGACCCCUAACUGACCUGGUAGGGUCAACACCCUACAGGAUCACAGGCCAGCUCACCACAGUAUCUGAAGACAACACAGUGUAUAUUUUGAGACUGGGGAUGGAUUAUGGCUCUGUGAGAUGUCAGAUCAGCUCUGUAGGGAGACAUAACAACCGGAAAGCUCUUCCUGGCAGCACCAAGCCUGGGGACACACAGGGAGGUGGAGGUUAACAUGAUGGAGGCACAGAGUGGUUGGAGUUUAGCGUGAUGGAGCCUCAGAAUGUGUAGAGGUUAGCUUGAAGGAGCGUUAGAGUGGUUGGAGGUUAGCGUGACGGAG
Esox lucius (northern pike) is the source of this 1372-nucleotide long non-coding RNA. The record is from Ensembl. NCBI's taxonomy places the organism in Eukaryota, Metazoa, Chordata, Actinopteri, Esociformes, Esocidae.